This 723-nucleotide ribosomal RNA is filed under the name Tripos fusus. RNAcentral's name for it is "partial Eukaryotic large subunit ribosomal RNA". It matches the Rfam family "Eukaryotic large subunit ribosomal RNA", at positions 11 to 660 of the family's 3401-position model. Lineage: Eukaryota; Dinophyceae; Gonyaulacales; Ceratiaceae. The record is from RNAcentral.
UCAGGUGAGACUACCCGCUGAACUUAAGCAUAUCACUAAGCGGAGGAAAAGAAACUAACCAGGAUUCCCCUAGUAACGGCGAGUGAACCGGGAAGAGCUCAAGCUGAAAAUCUUCGGAAUUGUGGUCUAUAGGUGCGGACUCGCGCAGCCCCAGGUAUAAAUCCGUUCUUGGAAUUGGGUGCCAGAGAGGGUUAGAGCCCCGUCUUUGACUUGGGUAGCUGUGCGUGGCGAGUCUUUACCGGAGAGUCGGCUUGCUUGGGAAUGCAGGCCAAAAUGGGUGGUAAACUUCAUCUAAAGCUAAAUAUUGGCGAGAGACCGAUAGCGAACAAGUACUGUGAAGGAAAGAUGGAAAGAACUUUGAAAAGAGAGUGAAAAAGGGCUUGAAAUUGUUAAGAGGAGAAGUGAUUGGAGCAUAUCAUACGGCGUGGGGUUCCAGGGACGGGACUUGUCUUGUCUUGCACCAUCCCGCGCUGUUGGUCAGCAUCGGUUCUGUGUGGGGGAGAAAACCCUUUGCGUUGAUGGCUUCGGCUUGAUCGUUUUGGGCGAAACCUUGGACGGGACCGAGGCAGCAAGUCUACGCUUGGCGGCCGGCCCCCUGCCCGUUUUGGGGCGCGUUGUACACCCUUUUGGCGUCUGCGGCGCGUGUUGGAACGAUGCGGGGGAGCGCUGGACCUGUAGACUCGAGAUGUUGGCACAAUGGCUUCAAUCAGCCCGUCUUGAAAC